Non-coding RNA from Taeniopygia guttata (zebra finch), 261 nucleotides. The record is from RefSeq and is a predicted model, not a curated record. Lineage: Eukaryota; Metazoa; Chordata; Aves; Passeriformes; Estrildidae.
GGUACAGGACGUUGCCCUGGCCCAGGUGUGUCCCUCACCUGUCCCAGGUGUGUCACUCACCCAGCCCGUGGUACAGGACGUUGCCCUGGCCCAGGUGUGUCCCUCACCUGUCCCCAGGUGUGUCCCAGGUGUGUCCCUCACCUGUCCCAGGUGUGUCACUCACCCAGCCCGUGGUACAGGACGUUGCCCUGGCCCAGGUGUGUCCCAGGUGUGUCCCAGGUGUGUCCCAGGUGUGUCCCUCACCUGUCCCAGGUGUGUCCC